Molecule: ribosomal RNA, 479 nt
Filed under: uncultured bacterium
Lineage: Bacteria
Description: bacterial SSU rRNA
Rfam family: Bacterial small subunit ribosomal RNA
Source: RNAcentral
UGAACGCUGGCGGAAUGCUUUACACAUGCAAGUCGAGCGGCAGCGCGGGGCAACCUGGCGGCGAGCGGCGAACGGGUGAGUAACAUAUCGGAACGUACCCUAUCGUGGGGGAUAACACAUCGAAAGAUGUGCUAAUACCGCAUACGACCUGAGGGUGAAAGCGGGGGAUCGCAAGACCUCGCGCGACAGGAGCGGCCGAUAUCGGAUUAGCUAGUUGGUGAGGUAAAGGCUCACCAAGGCGACGAUCCGUAGCUGGUCUGAGAGGACGACCAGCCACACUGGAACUGAGACGCGGUCCAGACUCCUACGGGAGGCAGCAGUGGGGAAUUUUGGACAAUGGGCGCAAGCCUGAUCCAGCCAUGCCGCGUGAGUGAAGAAGGCCUUCGGGUUGUAAAGCUCUUUCGGCGGGGAAGAAAUCGCACGGGUUAAUACCUCGUGUGGAUGACGGUACCCGAAUAAGAAGCACCGGCUAACUACGU